AUGCAGUCGAACGAGAGAGAGGGAGCUUGCUUCCUCAAUCGAGUGGCGAACGGGUGAGUAACGCGUGAGGAACCUGCCUCAAAGAGGGGGACAACAGUUGGAAACGACUGCUAAUACCGCAUAAGCCCACGACCCGGCAUCGGGAAGAGGGAAAAGGAGCAAUCCGCUUUGAGAUGGCCUCGCGUCCGAUUAGCUAGUUGGUGAGGUAACGGCCCACCAAGGCGACGAUCGGUAGCCGGACUGAGAGGUUGAACGGCCACAUUGGGACUGAGACACGGCCCAGACUCCUACGGGAGGCAGCAGUGGGGAAUAUUGCACAAUGGGGGAAACCCUGAUGCAGCGACGCCGCGUGGAGGAAGAAGGUCUUCGGAUUGUAAACUCCUGUUGUUGAGGAAGAUAAUGACGGUACUCAACAAGGAAGUGACGGCUAACUACGUGCCAGCAGCCGCGGUAAAACGUAGGUCACAAGCGUUGUCCGGAAUUACUGGGCGUAAAGGGAGCGCAGGCGGGCGAUCAAGUUGGAAGUGAAAUCCAUGGGCUCAACCCAUGAACUGCUUUCAAAACUGGUCGUCUUGAGUAGUGCAGAGGUAGGCGGAAUUCCCGGUGUAGCGGUGGAAUGCGUAGAUAUCGGGAGGAACACCAGUGGCGAAGGCGGCCUACUGGGCACCAACUGACGCUGAGGCUCGAAAGUGUGGGUAGCAAACAGGAUUAGAUACCCUGGUAGUCCACACCGUAAACGAUGAUUACUAGGUGUUGGGAGAUUGACCCUCUCAGUGCCGCAGUUAACACAAUAAGUAAUCCACCUGGGGAGUACGACCGCAAGGUUGAAACUCAAAGGAAUUGACGGGGGCCCGCACAAGCAGUGGAGUAUGUGGUUU
RNAcentral lists this ribosomal RNA (878 nucleotides) under uncultured bacterium. RNAcentral's name for it is "bacterial SSU rRNA". It matches the Rfam family "Bacterial small subunit ribosomal RNA", at positions 55 to 947 of the family's 1533-position model. The record is from RNAcentral.